AGCGCUCUUGUGACUUGUUCGAGCCAAUCUUCCGCAACUAACGGAUCCGGUUCUCCCUUGAACGUUGGAGGUCGUAGUUGAAGAAAGGCCUUCAUGGCUGUGGUAGCCCUAUUUUCUGUCGCUCUAAUCGGCACUUGCAUAGUUUGCACAGUGUUUUUCACCACUUGCUCAAUGGCGGUGAACACUCCUUGCAUAAAUUCGACGCCACCCAAAACCGUAGGUGGAACACGUUCUACAUUCCCUUCAGGAGCACUUGCCCUUCCUCCCAUCACCGACUCU
RNAcentral lists this long non-coding RNA (279 nucleotides) under Actinidia chinensis (golden kiwifruit). Its description in RNAcentral is "long non-coding RNA (ACHI_LNC003844)". The record is from RNAcentral. Lineage: Eukaryota; Viridiplantae; Streptophyta; Magnoliopsida; Ericales; Actinidiaceae.